RNAcentral lists this ribosomal RNA (774 nucleotides) under uncultured Neocallimastigales. RNAcentral describes it as "partial large subunit ribosomal RNA". It matches the Rfam family "Eukaryotic large subunit ribosomal RNA", at positions 24 to 618 of the family's 3401-position model. Lineage: Eukaryota; Fungi; Neocallimastigomycota; Neocallimastigomycetes; Neocallimastigales. The record is from RNAcentral.
UAUCUCUGUAGAGUCUGCAUAUCAAUAAGCGGAGGAAAAGAAACUAACUAGGAUUCCCUCAGUAACGGCGAGUGAAGCGGGAAGAGCUCAAAUUUGAAAUCUUCAAGGUUUUACCUUGACGAAUUGUAGUUUAAAGAAGUGUUUUCUGUUGGAGUUUUGGUAAAAGUUCUUUGGAAUAGGACAUCAUAGAGGGUGAGAAUCCCGUAUUUGACCAUUAUUUCCAGCUUUGUGAUACACUUUCAAAGAGUCGGAUUGUUUGGGAAUGCAGUCCAAAAUGGGUGGUAAAUUUCAUCUAAAGCUAAAUAUUGGCGAGAGACCGAUAGCGAACAAGUACCGUGAGGGAAAGAUGAAAAGAACUUUGAAAAGAGAGUUAAACAGUACGUGAAAUUGUCAAAAGGGAAGCGUUUGACACCAGUGUUGUUUUCUACGAAAAUCAAUUUAUGAUGGCUUGAUGCUAAGCUUUAAGACUUUAUCCGCUUGUUGUUUAGUUUUCUUGUCUUUGUGAAUGCACUUUUCGUGGAAUAAGUCAACAUCAAUUUCUUUUGCUGUAAAAGGGUAAGAGGAAGGUGGCUUCGGCUUCGGUUGAAGUGUUUAUAGCCUUUUAUCUCUGCAGUCGGAGAGAUUGAGGUCUGCAGCGUAGACUCUUCGGGGUUAGAUACGUCGGUGCUAAGCUAUAGCUUUUCAUAGACAACUUGUUGACUAUGUUUAGUCAUGUGGCUUACCCGCUGGCGCUAUUUUACCUACGCUUAGGAUGUUGAGUCAUCACACAUCUCU